Lolium perenne is the source of this 3582-nucleotide RNA transcript. RefSeq lists it as uncharacterized. Lineage: Eukaryota; Viridiplantae; Streptophyta; Magnoliopsida; Poales; Poaceae. The record is from RefSeq and is a predicted model, not a curated record.
UCGUAAACUCGUAUGCAGUCGAGAGAGCCACGAAGCCAUCGUACAGACCGCAUCGAACUCCUCCUUUCCGCCCGCCCGCCGCCGCCGCCGCCGCAGCCAUUCAUGGCGGGGCGCCGCCGGGGAGGAUUCGAACAUUAACCCAUGCUAUUCUCCACACCUCCCUGCAAAUCCCAAGCUCCUGCAGCCGCCGCCGCCAUCGUAGCAGCUAUCUCCAGCCGCCGCAUCUCCUCCUCCUCGUCGCCGGCGCUGAUUCCCCCGCCGCAUCACGAGGACAACCCAUUCUCCCCACUCCUCACCUCCGAUCCCCCACCACCGGAUCCGCUCCGCCGGGUUCUUGCCACGGGCGACGUCCACGCCGCGCUCCGCGGCCUCCCGGUCCUCGCGCGCCAGCUAUUCCGGUGGGCGGAGGGCACCCCGCACGGCUUCCCCCGCUCCGCGUCCGCAUUCGCCGCCGUCCUCAUCCCGCUCGCCGAGGCCCGCCACAACAGCGCCACCUACCCCGUCUCCCUCCGCGCCCUCCACGCCGGCCUGCUCCUGCCCCUCAUCUCCCUCCUCCUCACGUAUCCCCUGUCCCGUUCCUCCUAUCACCUCCUAAACCUCCUCUUACGCAUGUCCACCAAGUUCCCAGCCGAAUGCGAGGCGCACGGCUCCGUGCCCACCACCUGUUCGACCCAAUGCCUUUCGGUCUUCCAAGAGAUGGCCCGUCAUGGCGUAGCCCCUUACGUCAAGGAGUGCAACAUCGUGCUCCAUGUGCUAUGCCGUGCGGCCAGGUGGGAUGACAUGAGUGCUGUGUAUUCUGAUAUGCUGCAGCUCGGGGUCAAGCCAAGCAUUGUCACAUACAAUACAUUGCUGGAUUCUUUCUGCAAGUCGGGGAGGAUCGAUCAGGCUGUCAGCCUGCUCAGGGACAUGGAGGCCCAGGCUGCUGGGUGCUUGCCGGAUGAUGUCACCUACAAUGUGGUCAUCAGCGGGUUGGCCAGGAAUGGUGAGCUGGACAAGGCGUCUGAGCUGGUUGAUAGAUUGCGCUUGUCCAAGAAAGCAUCAGCCUUCACAUAUAAUCCACUUAUCACUGGGUUGUUAGCCAGGGGUUUCGUUGAGAAGGCUAGAGCUUUGCAGCGGGAGAUGGAGAAUGAUGGCGUUCCGCCAACGGUGGUGACAUACAAUGCAUUGAUCGAUGGGCUGUUUAAAAGAGGGAAUGCUGAGGCGGCACUGGUGAUAUUUGCGGAAAUGAGGGCAAUGGGGAUGCCGCCAGAUUUGAUUACUUAUAAUUCCUUAAUAAAUGGAUAUUGUAAGGCAGGGAAUUUGAGGCAGGCACUUUCGUUGCUUGGUGAUUUGAGGCGUGCAGGGUUAGCUCCAACAGUUUUGACAUAUAAUAUCCUUAUAGAUGGUUAUUGUAGAUUAGGCGAUUUAGAGGGGGCUAAGAGAAUCAAGGAGAAGAUGACAGAGGAGGGCUGCCUGUCCGAUGUUUGUACAUAUACUAUUCUUAUGAAUGGGUCAUGCAAGGUCAGGAACCUUGCUAUGGUCAGGGUGUUCUUUGAUGAAAUGCUGAGCAAAGGUUUACAACCAGAUGCCUUUGCCUACAACACGAGGAUUUUAGCAGAGCUGACUCUAGGGUCUAUUUCCGGUGCUUUUCAGUUGAGGGAGGAGAUGACGCUGAGAGGAAUUCCUUCUGAUACAGUUACAUAUAAUAUUCUUAUUGAUGGGCUGUGCAAGACUGGUAGCCUGAAAGAUGCCUAUGCGUUGUGGAUGAAGAUGGUCAGUGAUGGUUUACAGCUUGAUUGUGUCACAUACACUUGCUUGAUCCAUGCACAUUGUGAGAGGGGGCGCCUAGCGGAAGCAAAUAGUAUUUUUUAUGGCAUGGUUGCAAGUGGUUUGACACCCUCGGCUGUGACCUAUACUGUUUUAAUCCACACAUACUGCAGGAGGGGAAAUCUAUAUUCAGCAUAUGGUUGGUUCCGGAAGAUGCUGGAGGAAGGAGUGGAACCUAAUGAAAUAACAUAUAAUGUGCUGAUGCAUGCAUUAUGCCGGAUGGGGAGAACUGAAUUGGCUUAUCGACAUUUUCAUGAGAUGCUGGAGAGAGGAUUGGUGCCAAACAAGUGCACAUACACCUUUUUGAUAGAUGGGAACUGUAAAGAAGGUAAUUGGGUGGAGGCUAUAAGGUUGUACUGCGAAAUGCAUCAGAAUGGUAUUCAUCCAGACCAUUGCACACAUAACGCCUUGUUUAAGGGAUUUGGUGAAGACCACAUGCACAAGGCAAUCCAGUACUUGGAGAAUGUUGUUUUGGGUGUCUAGGAUGGUCCUCAAGAAAGGAUCACGGUGGCCUUGCUUGGUGGAGAACUCUCAGAUGGCAGAUGGAACCUGGGGUGACAUUCUCUGGAUAAUGGAGCUAUGUGCUUUCCAGAGAGAUUGUUAAACACAAACAGGUCCUUCUCUUGCUGUGUGAGCUUCCUCCCAGUUUCCCCUUGGCCAUAUGCUUAUGGUCAUGGAGCUAUACCAUUUUGCCCCAUUGUUUUUUUCUUUUGAUAUGGCGUAAUGGAAAUCUUUUGACCAUGCAUCCCAAACACCUACUGUCCCAAAAGUGAAUGGCUAUGGACCUUUUGCACCAAGCUUCAACAAUAACGUAUAGGCUUUCUCUUGAUCUUCUCUUUUUCUCAAUGAUAAGUAUGGUGGGUGGAGGGGAACUUUGUCUCAAGUCUCGAUUGUUGGUAGCCAAAACAUGUCUACUUAUAUGAGAUUAAAGUGCAGUUGGAAGGCCCUUCUGUUGGUCAAACCAACCAUUUCUUGUUUCAGUUGUUUGUGCUCUAACAUAAUUGCACAGCUUCGUGCUGCUGCUGAACUGCGGAGUCGCUAGCCAGGAGGGGGCUGCCGAAUUACGGAUUGUACCCUGCUUAUUACAUCGUGAACCAUUGAUCACCUUCAGAGUGGAAGCACAUUUUUCAUGCUGCCCUGGAGAGGUCUACGAGCCUGCACCCCAAGGGUAGGGUGGGAAUUUGGUCGUUGGUGGAUUGAGGAACAGGAGGGCAUUUGUCUCCUUUGUCCUGCUGUUAACCUGGACAAGUUGGAAAAAAAGGAUAAUCGGUGCCUUUUCUUUCCCAUGCAAAUUAGAAGUGCACUUCGUUUUUCAACAUGACAAAGCCUGGUCAGUGAAGCAGCUAAUGAGGACAGUCAAGGACUAACCAGUUGGUGUGAUAAGGAGCCUGGAAAUAUUCAUGGUGGUCAUGCAGAAGUUCUUUAGCUGAAUAAUUUCUUAGCUAGGCAUGAUUCUGUACAAUUUAUCUUUUAUUCUUUCACCCUUUCUCUCAAUGUCUUGCUUCAAUCCAAAUCUGGUGGUUUGUUGCUAGGUCAGGGGACAAAGUUGUAAGUGUUGUUUCGCUAUCCUAAUGUAAUGGCAUGCAGGCAUACUGCAUGUUCUAUUAAAAAGGGAGAUUGUUCUUUCCCUCAUGUUCUGUUUCUUCGGAAGUAGUUCUCGAAAAAGAUAAAUUCACCAUGAGGUACUUCUCAUUUGAUUAUUCUGAUGUGACCAAAUUCAUGUUUUGAUACAGAAAGAUAUUAUCAAAUUGAUACAUAUGUGAAUUUUAAUGUUGA